AGGGGUGUAGCUCAGUUGGUAGAGCUUCGGAUUCCAAAUCCGACGGUCGGGGGUUCGAGUCCCUCCACCCCUGCCA
This 76-nucleotide transfer RNA is filed under the name Paracoccaceae bacterium. Its description in RNAcentral is "Rhodobacteraceae bacterium (sponge metagenome) tRNA-Trp". It matches the Rfam family "tRNA". Rfam says of the family: Transfer RNA (tRNA) molecules are approximately 80 nucleotides in length. Their secondary structure includes four short double-helical elements and three loops (D, anti-codon, and T loops). The record is from RNAcentral. Lineage: Bacteria; Pseudomonadati; Pseudomonadota; Alphaproteobacteria; Rhodobacterales; Paracoccaceae.